CAGCAGCCGCGGUAAUACAGAGGGUGCGAGCGUUAAUCGGAUUUACUGGGCGUAAAGCGUGCGUAGGCGGCUUUUUAAGUCGGAUGUGAAAUCCCUGAGCUUAACUUAGGAAUUGCAUUCGAUACUGGGAAGCUAGAGUAUGGGAGAGGAUGGUAGAAUUCCAGGUGUAGCGGUGAAAUGCGUAGAGAUCUGGAGGAAUACCGAUGGCGAAGGCAGCCAUCUGGCCUAAUACUGACGCUGAGGUACGAAAGCAUGGGGAGCAAACAGGAUUAGAGACCCGUGUAGUCCCUGUCUCUUAUAA
Molecule: ribosomal RNA, 301 nt
Filed under: uncultured bacterium
Lineage: Bacteria
Description: partial 16S ribosomal RNA
Rfam family: Bacterial small subunit ribosomal RNA
Source: RNAcentral